UACAGAGGUCCCAAGCGUUGUUCGGAUUCACUGGGCGUAAAGGGUGCGUAGGUGGUUGGGCAAGCCUGAUGUGAAAUCUCCGGGCUUAACCCGGAAAUGGCAUUGGAAACUGCCCGGCUAGAGUGUUGGAGGGGGGACUGGAAUUCUCGGUGUAGCAGUGAAAUGCGUAGAUAUCGAGAGGAACACCAGUGGCGAAGGCGAGUCCCUGGACAACUACUGACACUGAGGCACGAAAGCUAGGGGAGCAAACAGG
This 253-nucleotide ribosomal RNA is filed under the name uncultured bacterium. RNAcentral's name for it is "partial 16S ribosomal RNA". It matches the Rfam family "Bacterial small subunit ribosomal RNA", at positions 524 to 776 of the family's 1533-position model. The record is from RNAcentral.